RNAcentral lists this ribosomal RNA (420 nucleotides) under uncultured bacterium. RNAcentral describes it as "partial 16S ribosomal RNA". It matches the Rfam family "Bacterial small subunit ribosomal RNA", at positions 360 to 772 of the family's 1533-position model. The record is from RNAcentral.
AAUAUUGGACAAUGGGGGAAACCCUGAUCCAGCCAUCCCGCGUGUAUGAUGAAGGCCUUCGGGUUGUAAAGUACUUUUGGCAGAGAAGAAAAGGUACCUCCUAAUACGAGGUACUGCUGACGGUAUCUGCAGAAUAAGCACCGGCUAACUACUUCCCACCAGCCGCGGUAAUACGUAGGGUGCAAGCGUUAAUCGGAAUUACUGGGUGUAAAGCGUGAGUAGGAGAUUCGAAAAGAAAGAUGUGAAAUCCCAGGGAUCAACCUUGGAACUGCAUUUUUAACUGCCGAGCUAGAGUAUGUCAGAGGGGGAUAGAAUUCCACGUGUAGCAGUGAAAUGCGUAGAUAUGUGGAGGAAUACCGAUGGCGAAGGCAGCCCCCUGGGAUAAUACUGACGCUCAGACACGAAAGCGUGGGGAGCAAA